AGAGAAAAAGUUAAGUGGCCCAUAGCAAGGACACAUGGGUUGGACGUGGUAAACUCCAUUAAGAUCCAAUCUGCUUUUCUAAUCUACCAUUUUGGUGUCAGUGUGCAGAAGAGAUCAAAACAGAGGGUCAGCAGAAAAAGGGAGACUGAGCACCCCUCGCGGCCUCACUCCAACAUCACAUUUUUGUUCCCAGGACUUCUGAUGUUCUCCAGGACCAUGCUGGGCCACUCCUCAUAUCCUCACCCAGAGCAGGAACGGGAGAUAUCCCCAUCACCCCCACAAUAUCCAGAGUGGAACAGUAUAUCUUCCACUUGCCAAGACUGGUGAGAUCAGCAUAGCAACUGAAACCAUCUGUAAACAAGGCCUCUGGUUAUAUUCCCUACUGCAAAUGACCACAGAGAACUCGCCAUAAGGGCACAGGUAUUGGUAAACUAUAAGCGAGCUGGAGGGUGAACAACGGCUCCUACUUACUUAUUCCUUCUCCUUGCAGUACCUUUGGCACAAGUUCCACUGAACGAAGUUCCCUGUGGCCUCAGUUUGGCCAGGGUGUGACAAUCACAAUUUGCGGGGGACAGAUACCUGGGGGGGACGUGGUAUCUCAUGUUAGGAUAUUGGAGGGCAAAUACAAAGUGACAUAAGAAACAAAGGUUUAAUAUCCCCAUUGACAAGUGAGAGCAGGCUUUCUCCCCUCCCUUUGCUUUAGAAGGUUUACUUUGGAAAACUUGUCAGUUCUUUCUCUGUCUCUUUGCAAUAUGUGGAAAUCGUUUUAGAAAGCUCAAUAAGCCUCUUGCCAAUUUGACAACCCAGGAACGCUUCUUUAAGGACCUGGAAGCAAAAAUCCUUGCAAAGGGGGAGAACUAGGUAAAGAGGGAACAACUUAAGCAGUUGAAACCAGAAACUGCUAGACCUUCUGGACAAUCAGAGAAAGAAAUGACUGUCAAAGCAAUGCACCAGAGUCAAUAGAGCUGCAGGAGAAGAUCAUGAAAAGGUGAGGGCAGGCAGCAUCUCAGGAGGAUUACAGCAUCCUCAGAAGCAAGAGGUGUUCCUUCUCAGAACUCCCUCAGGUUAUGUUAGUGUGCAACGGUAUAAAACAUUAUAAACAACAUUAAAUGGUGCACAGAAAGAGCGGCGGUGGCAAAAUGAUCUCCUGGGAGAGAGGCCCACAAUUCACUGGGAAAAUGAAAUGUGAAGACUUGAUCCGAAUAUUAACGCCUCAUCUUGAAUAGAGGCCCACAUCCACUCACUUCACACAUAUCCGUGUGCUUUACCAUCUUCUAUACCACAGUUACGGCCACCGAAUGGUAGUGUGAGGGAACGGGGCCAGGAGACAGGAGAAAGAGCCCUGAACCCACAAUGUCCACCACAAUUUUCACACCAAAACCCUUGUCCUCGCCACUGUCAGUCUUUCCGUAUACUCUCAGAGCCUCCUGCUC
RNAcentral lists this long non-coding RNA (1433 nucleotides) under Capra hircus (goat). RNAcentral describes it as "lncRNA (ENSCHIG00010027282.1)". The record is from RNAcentral. Lineage: Eukaryota; Metazoa; Chordata; Mammalia; Artiodactyla; Bovidae.